This is a long non-coding RNA of Pocillopora damicornis (cauliflower coral), 2685 nucleotides long. NCBI's taxonomy places the organism in Eukaryota, Metazoa, Cnidaria, Anthozoa, Scleractinia, Pocilloporidae. The record is from RefSeq and is a predicted model, not a curated record.
GACGAUGCAAAUUUUCUUGAAAUGUAGCUGUUUACUGCGCAUUGUUGAGGCCUCAUCAUCACAGUCAUGUAUGAUAGUGAUAUUCAAUGAGAUCCAAUCUAUUAGUUAGUCGUUAAGUGAUCAGAAAUGGCUUAGGAAAUAAGUCAGACUUUUAACUCGAAAAUUCUUAUGACCUAUGAAGAUUACCUUAUCCGUUUUGCCUUUUAUCGUUGAACACAACAUCACGAAUGUGCUCAGUUACACAAGAAAUGUCCAGCACGCUAUUUGAAUUGUAAUUUCCACUUUUGUGUUCAUUUUACAGCAUACAAGGUGACCUUCUUUGUCUGCGAGCAAUCAGCAAGAAAAGGACACAGAAAAGUUCAUUUUCAUUGGUUUAAUUUUGAAUCCUAAUUAUAUUUGUUGUUGCGUCUCGUUACUGCUCGGGCAUCUUUCGUCUUUUCGUCUACACAAAACCAUCUUUACAAUUUCAAUUUCUUUCUUAAAUUCCCAUCGAUUUGUAUUCAUCUCUAAAAGUGAUUAUCUUCCAGUUACGUGCAAAAAAUGCAUGUGUAACGUGAUGUUCUUAAAAUACAAUACUGAUUUAAUUCUAAUCAGCCACAUUUGAUUGCCCAAAAUUCCACGAACAAAACUUGUUAUUUACUUGGAAAAGCGGGUUUUACUUGUUUAAACAGCUCAGCUGUCAUAAAUUUUUUCUAGUAAUUUUAAGGUCUCUCCAGACUUCAAAUUGGUACUUCAAGGAUAUUUUAAAAUUUGAAUCCUUUAAUUCUCUUUCCAAGAAGAUGCAGAUGUUCCACACUCCUCACUACAGUCUGCGUUCCUGGUCUUGUCCGACAGAGAUGUAAAGUAUGUUAAUAACUAGAGCAAAAUAGUUUCAGGAAAAUCGCGAAAAAGGCGAAUUUUGCAAACACCAGUGCGGGCUGAGUUUUUUACGACAUAAUAAAAAAUGGCUGACGAUUUUGAAUAGGUAAAAGGUAUAAGGCAGUUGGCACUCGAGCCAGUUCAAAGUCCUUCUCAGAAGCACUGGUUAGUGAUUAUAAGUUUAGUGUCGUGGAUGGGGAAUCCUUCAGUUUUCGCCUGGGAGGCGCUACAUGUUGCUAGAACGCUAGAAGCUGCGGAGCGUCAUUUUCAUAGCGGGUUGAUCCACGAACUCAGGGAGAAAUUUGAGGAAAACUUAAAGGUGAACAGAAAGUCCAAUGAAACUCAACUGAGCUUCAAGCAGUAAAAGGUACUCAGAUGAAAAGCCAAGUACUUCUGUCUGGCACAAUCAGGUACUUAGCUGAAGACUUCCCAAGAUCAAGAAUAAACAGAUAUCCGGACGAGCAGCAGAUGAGAUAUUGUGCCGUGAAGGCAUUAUGAGCUUACACGUGAUCGAAUGCAUGGAGCGAAGAAACAACCGCAUGGAAAAAAAAAAUCGGCCACAGAGAUAAGUCGUGUACUUUUUUCAUUAUUGUGUCUCACGUUAUUGCGUAAUGAUAAUGUCUUCUUAUUCUUUAAACGACCACAAUGAUUAUAUAAUACACCCUUUUUAGCGAACGAAUUUAUUUUUGUCUCUUGCACGCUUUCGCUGGUUAUGAGACAGUUCGCGUUAGAAAGGAGAUCCCAAUAGACUUAAGAUGGUGAUUUUGGUGUGUUUGAAAAUCCAUAGAGAUAUCUUAAGUCUGAAACGGUGAUAGCAGGGAAUAGAUUUCAAGCUGGUCUUACUGUGAAACGUACGUUCAAUUUCGUGCAAACGACCGAGAACCGAGAAAAAUUAUGAAAAAAAAUUUAAUGCUGGCAUUUUUAUCGAAAAAGGUAAUUUGCACUUGUAUUCAUUUGCUCGGAAACCAUUAUUCAUCCACUAUAUAUAUAUAUAUAUAUUAAUUGAAAGCAAUGAUUGCGUUGCAAACCGAAUUGAUGAAUACGAGAGUAUGGUAAAUUUAGCUGUGCAUUGGUUUAUCAAGACUAUCAAGGUCGCAUUCAGUAUCAACAAUGUUAUUAAUAAAAGUCAGUGGUUUUAACAUCACAAAAAUACUCAAUACAAUCUAAGUCAUACUAGCAGAAUCCAUAGAUGUUGUUAUUGUAGUACCAUGCUGAAUGCUCCUCAAAAUUUGAGCUCAGAUGCCGCCGAAAUUUCAAAAUAUUUUGAAAAUUGUUUGCACUCCUUUGGGUGCAAAAAAUUGACAUAUAUGUAGAUAUUUGUUUCGUUUUCUUUCAUUCUAAGAGAAAAGUUUUUCCUGUUAGAAAUUCAAACUUUAAAUAAAUUAACCAUAUUUUCACAUUCUGCACUCAGGCAUUUUAUCGAAACUACGGAGUGUUUGCGAUACUGAAGCGUAAAGUUGAACUCCCGAAUUUAUGCCAACUCACCAUCGACACAAGAGCAAUGAUCAUACUUCCAAGAUCAUGGUACCGAAUGAUGUUAUGGAAAAACUGUGAGAAAUUUCCGGCCAACACACGAUGACAGGCAAUCCUCACCCCUAGAAACUAUACCCUUUCUCAAGGAAAGGAAGGAAGAAAAAUCCAAGGAGCCAUAUUGAUAAAGUUCCUUCUAGUCCCUGAGGAAACAGAUGGCCCUUCCUCUCUGAAAGUUGAAAGAUACAAAUUCCGAUGAACAAUCACUAACAAUCGAUUGCCUAUCUAUUCCGUCAUUUAGCCUUCUUGUAGUGCAUAAACGCACGUGUGAUUGAAAUAGAUUAAUUGAAACUGAAA